Long non-coding RNA from Macaca fascicularis (crab-eating macaque), 2966 nucleotides. The record is from Ensembl. NCBI's taxonomy places the organism in Eukaryota, Metazoa, Chordata, Mammalia, Primates, Cercopithecidae.
AUGAGGAGAACGGGUUUGUGCGUUUCUGGAUCCUUGGUGCUUCCCAGUCUCAGACGCUGUGCAGGCUCUGAGGGGUCUCGCUGGGAAAACUUGAACAGUUGGCCCCCGGGGUGGAGUGGGGCUGCAGCGGGUCUUGCAGAAACUGGAAGUGGGGCUGAAUUCAAGAAAGGGAAACAAGCAGACAGAGUAAGUACCCAAAAGUGUCUAAGUGGCUGGGUGGGGGAUCCUUCUAUGGUGUUGGAUUGUGUUCUGCCAGACAUCGCUCCUCGAAAAGCUGACCCUGAAAGGGCUGGCAUUGCCCUCACCCUGAGACAUUUGUCUGUCUCACCAGAAAAUGAAGAAUCUGCCAGAGUACUGUGAGUCAAAUUCAGUCAGAACUCGAUUAACUAAGAGGCUUUGUCUGAAAGGCCAAAACAUGAGGACACAUUUUUAAUUUUUAAGGAGGGCUUCGUCGUCAGUCAGUUCUCACGUGUACUGCAUUAGGAAACCUCUGAACUUCCAUGAUCAGGCCCAGAGCUCUGAGGGAAAGUGGUUGUGACCUUCCCACUGUUUUUGUCACUAGCUUUAUUCAUUUCCUUAAAACCCUUUUUGUAUGAGUUCUAUUUUAGUUUGAAAAAAAAUUCACUUAGGUAGAACUGGAAGUGUUUCCGCAGUGUUAAUACUCAUGACCCGUUCUGGGUCUCGGUAUAUGUGUACUGUAUAAAUGUACAUGUUUGUAUGUGGUGUACCCAUACUACGUGUAUUUCCACUGUGCAUGUAUUUACAAUGUAUAAGUAUGUACACUACAUAUGUGUCCUACAGACGUGCAUGCUGUAGGCAUGCUUGUACAUGUGUAUAUGUGUGUAUCUAUGGGCACUAUGGUUAUAUGUACACUACUUGGACACCUAUCUGUUCUGCAUGUGUACAUACAUGCAUGUAUUUAAUGCCAUGUGCAUACCUGUGUACGUACACCAUGUGAGUAUGUGCACAUUAUUUCUGCAGAUGUAUAUAUACAUAUGUGCACACAAGCAUGCAUGUACACUAUGCACACUGAAUAAACUUUUGGAUAUGUACACACUAAUACAUAUACAUGCUGUGUAUGUAUGUACACUAUUGCAUAUGUGUAUAUGCUUUAUACGUUAGUGUACUGAUAUACAUUGUAUACAUGUGCAUAUGUGUACACUGCGCAUUUGUAUGCAUGCUGUCAUGCACCUACGUAUAUUGGAUAAGAAUGUAUGCUAUAUGCAUGUGUAUGCAUAUAGUAAAUAGCAUACCUGUGUACAUACGGAUGUGCAUGUGUAUGCCAUAUGCAUGUACAUACAGGUUAUAGUAUACCUGUGUACACCGUAUGCAUAUAGAAGUGUGUACAUGCUAUGCAAGUGCAUACAUGUUAGCAUACCGGAUGUGUGUAUGCUCUAUGCUUGUACACACGUAGUGAACUUGUUUGUACACUAUAUAUAUUUGGAUAUGUGUACACUCUGCAUGUACACUACAUGGAUCUGGAUGUGUGUGCACUCUGUACACAUGUAGUGCUCUUAUGUACACUAUACAUAUUCAGAUGUGUGUAUGUUCUAUGCAGGUACAUGUGUUACAGUGUACCAUAUAUGUACACUAUGUGGAUGUAAAUGUGUGUGUGCUCUAUGGCACCAGGAAUAGGGCUUCCUGAGGGAUCCAAGAAUGCACCAUCUCGCCAGCACCAGAGAGUGUAGGAAGAAAACAGUUGUUUGUUGCAACCUAGUUGAAAUUUGACAGGUUACUAUACCCUUUGCAAUGAUUUAGGAACAGUCACUUCAUUGAUGUGUGUGUUCCUGAAAUCAUAAACAGCUCUGUGAGGUGUGUCUCAUCCCCAGACGAGAGAGGGAACCGAAACAACAAUGACUCGGUCACUUAAGUGAGGUAGAAAUAACAGAGCAGCUGUCUAGCUUUCCAUAUUAUAACUUUGUCAGGAGCUCAAUGAGAAAUCGCCACUCAUCAGGAAAUGUGUCCACUUUCUACUGUUCUUUAUUCGUGGUAUAUUUACUGCCUCGUGUUAUUCCUCACGAUGUAGCAAAAUCCCUCCUAGAGUUGUGAAUAUAAACAGUUUAUGACAAAUGUAGUAUCUUCUUUAUUAACGUUGAAAACGAUAUGUAAGUUCACCUUCAGAUUCUGUUUGGAAGGAUGAGAAAGAAGAUGGUUAGGACAAAAGAAUAGAGAGCUUUCAAGUAAACAGGGAAAAUAAGGACUUUGUGCAAAAUAUUUCCAAAUUUGGAAUUUGAGAAUACUAAAUCUCACAUCUAAGAUCGUAGGUAGCUUUUUUGGGUUUUUAAAAUUAGUACUUGGUUUUCCAUGCUUUUGGGAAUUUCACUCCUGAUGGAGGAUUGCAAGAAUAAUCUGAUUUUUCAGAACAGAAGGACAGUCUGUCUCAAAGGUAAAUUCCAGGUUCUACCAUAGAGAAAUAGAAAUUGCUGUCAACUUUCUGUAAGGUUCUUCAGUUCUUUCCUCUUCUGUGGUUAAAAAACCAUCUCUGGGUUUAGUCUUAGCCAAGUUCCUCUUAUUAGGUUGCCUUACAUUUCACACAGCUGUUGAGAGUCUUCAUCAUUCAUAGUUAACUUGUUAAAAGCAAAAGCUUGUACUAGUUAGAUCUGAGCACCUUAAAGGCAGGGCUUUGUUUUAUAUUUUUAAUAAGCAGCAGGGUGAUGGCAGGGCUGGGGCCCUUCAUCCCAUCAUGCAUUCCUUUGAGCUUUCAGAGUUCUCACUGUGUGCUGAGUGUGGUGUUGGCUGUUUAGGGUUUAAAUAGGAAUACGAGGCUCUGCGACUUGGGACGCUCUUACUACCUUCAUAGAGAGCUUGGUGACAGCUUAGCAUGACAGCUUUCACACCUGUUGUGUAUACUUUAUUACGGUCCCACAGAAAGGGUGUUGAUUUAAAUGUAACUAAUUUCUCGUGUUUAUUUUUGCCUUUAUUCCUAGUUACAGUCCCGAUACUUUUUCUUCCUUUAAAAUCUUGCC